UACGGAGGGUGCAAGCGUUAAUCGGAAUUACUGGGCGUAAAGCGCACGCAGGCGGUCUGUCAAGUCGGAUGUGAACUCCCCGGGCUCAACCUGGGAACUGCAUUCGAAACUGGCAGGCUAGAGUCUUGUAGAGGGGGGUAGAAUUCCAGGUGUAGCGGUGAAAUGCGUAGAGAUCUGGAGGAAUACCGGUGGCGAAGGCGGCCCCCUGGACAAAGACUGACGCUCAGGUGCGAAAGCGUGGGGAGCAAACAGGAGUAGAUACCCGGGUAGUCCACGCCGUAAACGAUGUCGAUUUGGAGGUUGUGCCCUUGAGGCGUGGCUUCCGGAGCUAACGCGUUAAAUCGACCGCCUGGGGAGUACGGCCGCAAGGUUAAA
Molecule: ribosomal RNA, 375 nt
Filed under: uncultured bacterium
Lineage: Bacteria
Description: bacterial SSU rRNA
Rfam family: Bacterial small subunit ribosomal RNA
Source: RNAcentral